Non-coding RNA from Marmota flaviventris (yellow-bellied marmot), 3373 nucleotides. The record is from RefSeq and is a predicted model, not a curated record. NCBI's taxonomy places the organism in Eukaryota, Metazoa, Chordata, Mammalia, Rodentia, Sciuridae.
CCCGUAUGGGUACCAGCAAGAAAUGUCACACCAACCACCGACAGGCAGGCCUCCUCGGAAACUGAGCCAAAAGGAGAAGAGAUCAUCAUGACCCCCCCACUGGAGGAAUCACAAGAUAACCUGGGGUGAUAUCAAAGCCCUAUCAGAUCAACCUCAGACCAUGUCACCUACUGGAUACCAGAGUCCUGGUACUCUCUUCUUGCUUAUGUGUGCAAUUAUAACCUGCAACUUACAGAAUGCAUCCCAAGGACAAAACUCAGGAGGACAACAGGAGUCCCCCGGAUCAACAUCAUCAUAAGGCUCGCGGUCCUCACAGCCACAACUGCAACUGCCGCUCUCCUCACCCUACUAGAAGGACCACACCCAACCGAUUGGAAACAACUUAUGCUGUUGCUGGGACUUUAAUUGGACUUUCCCCUUCUUUUGCAUCAAUGCAGAAAAGGACCCCCUUUGUGCAUCAUUUUGUCAUUCAGCCCGCAAGUACAUGAUUGGUGGGUGGGAGCUCCAUCUCCCAGGAUUCUUUUAUUCUUUUACCUGUUGGUUUGGAUGAUACUGAUAUUGCCUUUCUUGUUUGCUACUAAUGUUUCCUCGCAAUGCCCAGUUACAUCUGACCCAAAAGCAAGGCACCCUUGGAAUAUGUCACUCUCAUUUGAUCAUUCAUGGGGCUUUACUAUAUUAAGGGAUGUAUCUAGGGCACAGAGGUUGUGUCAGUCUACAAUUUACCUUCACAAUGAUAUUCUUUGGGAGCCAGGAAUAGGAGGCAUUAUAGGUUUUCAACCACUCUCCUUAGAAGGAGAAGCAAAAGUAGUCUCAGUCAGUGAUCUGCCUAGUGGCAUGACCAUGCCUCCUCAUGGUAGAGACUCAUGUUAUUGGCCCCAACCCUUUCUGCAGAGAUGUCCAUGGAAAAAAUUUAAGGACAUCAAUGAAGGUAUACCUCUAAGAGCUGUAUCUUGGAAAGACUGUCUCUCCUUUUCCAGACCCUAUUUCAUUUCUGAUGAGCUUAUUUUAGUUGGUCCAGACCCUAUAAAAAAGGUGGAUGGAGAAUGGAAUUUUUAACAGAAACAAAUACAUUAAUAUUUAAAUAUCAUACAGAUUGGAUAAUAAAUGCUCAAAAUACAAAAGAAAGACAGUCAGGAGACAUUUUGCAAUUAGGCAAACAAUUGUUAUGUGGUGCUUACAAAUGUAUAGAUAUCAGUCCUAUUGUCACCAUGGAUGCCAUUUGGUUUAAGGGUUCUUUUGAAAAACCCUCAGCUAAACGUGCUACUAAGGGCCAUGUAUGUGUUAAGCCACCCUUCUUCUUUGUAACUUCCACUCAAAAAUCACAAAAAUGGUUGUCUUAAUUGUGAUGAUUCCCAAUGUGAGUUAACCAAUUGUUGGAAUUCUUCUGUUAAGACAAAAGAAUUCUGUUGGAAACCAUAACAUAAGAAUACCCCCCAUGUUAUGGUUUCCAACAGAGGAUGACUCCUCCAUUCAAGAGGUUCACUUUACAAAAGAUAUUUCCAUUCCCAGAGUUAGGCAAGAUUUUGGGAUUACUGCUGCCAUUGUAGCUGCUUCCCUUGUUGCAGUCGCUGCAGCUACCACUGCUGGUGGAACUUUGACCCAGUCCACACCAAAUGCUGCCAGAUAGUACAGUGCUCAACUAAAGCCCUGACACACAGGAGUGACUAAACGUGCACUUGCAAGGAGGUAUCUUAAUGUUACAACAACAGAUUGACCUUACUGAUGAAAAAAUUGAUGUGCUUCAAUUGAAUGUUAGAAUACCCUGCAGUCCUCAAUUUCUGUAUGUUUGUCGAACCCCUGUCUCAGUAAGAAGUGUAACAGAAGCUCGGCUUGAACUAGCAAAUAGACUUAAGGGACCUUGGGAUAUGACUUUUAGAAAUUUCACUAUGAUGCUGCAUGCUCAGAUUCUCAGCCUAAAUGAAACCAGAGCAGAGCUAAUUCUUAACCCCUCCAUCUUACAGUGACUAUGGGACAAAUUGUCAGCUUUAAUUGACCCUACUAAUUGGAUCCUCACUGGUAUUGGCAUAGUUUUUCUUGUUUUAGUAUAUGUUAUUUUAAGAUUUUUCCAAAAAAGGCUCAACAAAGUAAAAACAAAACAAGCUAUGUUAGUUCAUGCAUGUAAGGAAAGUCAAAAGGAAAAUAAUGAUUCCCCCACAUCUGUAUGGAUGGCGGCUAUGGACAGGAUCUAAGUAGUACCAACUAAGGGCCAGUUCUCUAUAAGGGAUCAUGCCCUGAGUCUUAGCACUGCUCUCCUCUUCAUCUAUCUGUGUCUCUCAGCUCUGUGACUAUAUUACUGUUUGUCUGUCCAUAGCCUUUUUUCUUCCUUCCUGAAUGCAGCCUCACCAGCCCAGUGCUGUGAGCUGGGCUCUCCAUGGAGAAGAAUUUCCUGCUCCUAAGGUAAAUGCUGGUGUGGAGGCCACAGGGGCAUUAUCUAUCCAGGAGACAGACACAAAGCCCUCAUGGGGACAAUAUCUUGCACAUUCCACAUCACCCUGUUUGGCCCCAGAGGAUGGCUGGUUAGUCAAUGACGGGUAAGAUUCCUCAAGGGAGGAACAACCUAAAACAAGCACAGCCACAGAGGGACCAUCAGGAGAAAACUUGGGGGCCAAAAAAUGUGAGGUACAGAAGCUCACCCCCCACCUGUGCAAAGGCCUAAUUCUUUACCCCUUUUGAGAGAGGUCUCCUGCCCCCAUGUCAAGCUCAAAUCAGGACCCAAGUGACAGACAGAGACCUAGUCAGCAGCAGCUGCCCUCUCACCAUAGCAGGAAACAACUGCAGCCACAGAAAUGGGCCAUGUUUGCAUCUUUCCCCUUUUCUCUUCCUUGGUUCUUUCCCCUUUUUCUAUGCUUUUCCCUCUUCCUUUCUUCUGUCAUCAUGGUUCUCCUUCAGCAGCAAAUUUAAUAAAAAUGGAGGAAAUGUUGGAAUGGCUUUCAGUUUACAGCUAGAAGCUAGCAGCCAUGAGCAGCUCGGAGUGCUUGAAGAAUCUACACUUGUUCAGGCCUAAUAGGAACACCUGUUCCUGAUAGGAACAGGAUGGGAUGCUCUAGCGAGCUGUUAGUGAGACCACAUCCUUAGCACUUGUGGUUAGUGUUGCCAAGCUGCCAGGCCAGGAAACUGAUAGCUAGGAGCUUCAACAUGGAACUUCUAACUUAGAAACCCCCUCCGCUAGGGAGAAAGACCCUUCCUGAUGAUAGCAAUAUUUAGAACAUCCUCAUAGUGUGGUUACAUUAGGCAGAAGAUGAUUGGCUUAUGGAUACUCAUGUAUGAUUCAUGGCAUGCCCACUUGAACCCUAUAACAAUUGUAUGCAUUCCAAAAAUAAACUGGGCUGCUGGAUGAUGACCUGAGGCAGGUCUCCAGCCAGUUCUCUCACCA